GGUAGUCCACGCCGUAAACGAUGUCGACUUGGAGGUUGUGCCCUUGAGGCGUGGCUUCCGGAGCUAACGCGUUAAGUCGACCGCCUGGGGAGUACGGCCGCAAGGUUAAAACUCAAAGGAAUUGACGGGGGCCCGCACAAGCGGUGGAUUAUGUGGUUUAAUUCGAUGAUACGCGAGGAACCUUACCAAGGCUUAAAUGGGAAUUGACCGGUUUAGAAAUAGACCUUCCUUCGGGCAAUUUUCAAGGUGCUGCAUGGUUGUCGUCAGCUCGUGCCGUGAGGUGUUAGGUUAAGUCCUGCAACGAGCGCAACCCCUGUUACUAGUUGCUACCAUUAAGUUGAGGACUCUAGUAAGACUGCCUACGCAAGUAGAGAGGAAGGUGGGGAUGACGUCAAAUCAUCACGGCCCUUACGCCUUGGGCCACACACGUAAUACAAUGGCCGGUACAGAGGGCAGCUACACAGCGAUGUGAUGCGAAUCUCGAAAGCCGGUCUCAGUUCGGAUUGGAGUCUGCAACUCGACUCUAUGAAGCUGGAAUCGCUAGUAAUCGCGCAUCAGCCAUGGCGCGGUGAAUACGUUCCCGGGCCUUGUACACACCGCCCGUCAAGCCAUGGAAGUCUGGGGUACCUGAAGUCGGUGACCGUAAAAGGAGCUGCCUAGGGUAAAACAGGUAACUAGGGCUAAGUCGUAACAAGGUAACC
Molecule: ribosomal RNA, 701 nt
Filed under: uncultured bacterium
Lineage: Bacteria
Description: bacterial SSU rRNA
Rfam family: Bacterial small subunit ribosomal RNA
Source: RNAcentral